AUUGAACGCUGGCGGCAUGCCUUACACAUGCAAGUCGAACGGCAGCACGGGGGCAACCCUGGUGGCGAGUGGCGAACGGGUGAGUAAUGCAUCGGAACGUGCCCAGUAGUGGGGGAUAACUAGUCGAAGGAUUAGCUAAUACCGCAUACGACCUAUGGGUGAAAGCGGGGGACCUUUACCGGCCUCGCGCUAUCGGAGCGGCCGAUGUCUGAUUAGCUAGUUGGCGGGGUAAAGCCACCAAGGCUUCGAUCAGUAGCUGGUCUGAGAGGACGACCAGCCACACUGGGACUGAGACACGGCCCAGACUCCUACGGGAGGCAGCAGUGGGGAAUUUUGGUACAAUGGGCGCAAGCCUGAUCCAGCCAUGCCGCGUGCGGGAAGAAGGCCU
Molecule: ribosomal RNA, 388 nt
Filed under: uncultured bacterium
Lineage: Bacteria
Description: bacterial SSU rRNA
Rfam family: Bacterial small subunit ribosomal RNA
Source: RNAcentral